Molecule: non-coding RNA, 69 nt
Organism: Gymnothorax javanicus (giant moray)
Lineage: Eukaryota; Metazoa; Chordata; Actinopteri; Anguilliformes; Muraenidae
Source: the annotation of a GenBank genome assembly
GUGAUAUAGCCUAGUGGUUAGGGUGUUGGGCUGCAAUGCAGACGACUAGUGUUCAAGUCCCUGGUCACA